AUACAGGGCGACAGCCCCUUACACAAAAGUGCACAUGCUGUGAGCUAGAUGAGUAGGGAGGGACACGUGGUAGCCUGUCUGAAUAUGGGGGGACCAUCCUCCAAGGCUAAAUACGCCUGACUGACCGAUAGUGAACCAGUACCGUGAGAGAAAGGCGAAAAGAACCCCGGCGAGGGGAGUGAAAAAGAACCUGAAGCCGUGUACGUUCAAGCAGUGGGAGCACGCUUAGGCGUGUGACUGCGUCCCUUUUGUAUAAUGGGUCAGCGACUUAUAUUCUGUAGCAAGGUUAACCGAAUAGGGGAGCCGAAGGGAAACCGAGUCUUAACUGGGCGUUAAGUUGCAGGGUAUAGACCCGAAACCCGGUGAUCUAGCCAUGGGCAGGUUGAAGGUUGGGUAACACUAACUGGAGGACCGAACCGACUAAUGU
Molecule: ribosomal RNA, 427 nt
Filed under: Escherichia coli
Lineage: Bacteria; Pseudomonadati; Pseudomonadota; Gammaproteobacteria; Enterobacterales; Enterobacteriaceae
Description: partial 23S ribosomal RNA
Rfam family: Bacterial large subunit ribosomal RNA
Source: RNAcentral